Molecule: ribosomal RNA, 252 nt
Filed under: uncultured bacterium
Lineage: Bacteria
Description: partial 16S ribosomal RNA
Rfam family: Bacterial small subunit ribosomal RNA
Source: RNAcentral
UACGAAGGGGGCUAGCGUUGUUCGGAAUUACUGGCGUAAAGCGCGCGCAGGCGGCUAUCCAAGUCAGUGGUGAAAGCCCGGAGCUCAACUCCGGAACUGCCAUUGAAACUGUUUAGCUUGAGGAUGAGAGAGGUGAGUGGAAUUCCCAGUGUAGAGGUGAAAUUCGUAGAUAUUGGGAAGAACACCGGUGGCGAAGGCGGCUCACUGGCUCAUUACUGACGCUCAGGCGCGAUAGCGUGGGGAUCAAACAGG